GGCUUUGAAGGCGGGGCAACAAAGCCUGUGGCCGAUGUGGCGCUCCUGGGCCCGCGCUUCAGUGGUUAUGACAGUGUUCGCUCUAAGGGGAGAAGGAAUGUGUGACCAUUUCCAACGGUUAACUUGCAUUCCCCAGAUAGUUUGGAUGAGUUACAACCUAAAUCUGCAAACUCAAUACAGCCAGACCCUGGGAAGUGACCCUCUCCAAGCCUCCUGUAACUUCACCAUAAUACCGGUUAAUGUGAUAAAAACACUGCAUGUAGCCAAUUUUUUUUUUUUUGAGAUGGCGUUAUUGGCUCUUGUUGCCCAGGCUAGAGUGCAGCGGCGUGAUCUUGGCUCACUGCAACCUCCACCUCGUGGGUUCAGGUAAUUCUCCUGCCUCAGCCUCCUGAGUGGCUGGGAUUACAGGCACACGCCACCAUGCCCAGCUAAUUUUUUUGUAUUUUUAGUAGAGUCGGGGUUUCACUAUAUGUUGGCCAGGCUGGUCUCGAACUCCUGACCUCAGGUGAUCCGCCUGCCUCAGCCUUCCAAAGUGCUGGGGUUACAGGUGUGAGCCACUGCGCCCAGCCAAAUAUUUUCUUAUUUAUUUAUUUAUUUUAGAGACAGGAUGCCAUUAUGUUGCCUAGUUUGGAAUGCAGUGUCUAUUUAGAGGCGUGAUCAUGGCAUACUAU
This 671-nucleotide long non-coding RNA is filed under the name Pan troglodytes (chimpanzee). Its description in RNAcentral is "lincRNA". Lineage: Eukaryota; Metazoa; Chordata; Mammalia; Primates; Hominidae. The record is from RNAcentral.